CUUUGGAAAGAGAGUUAAACAGUACGUGAAAUUGCUGAAAGGGAAACGCUUGAAGUCAGUCGCGUCUUCCGGGACUCAGCCUUGCUUYUGCUUGGUGUACUUUCCGGAUGACGGGUCAGCAUCAAUUUUGACCGUCGGAAAAAGGCUGGAGGAAUGUGGCACCUCCGGGUGUGUUAUAGCCCUUGGUCGUAUACGGCGGUUGGGAUCGAGGAACGCAGCACGCCSCAAGGCCGGGGUUCGUCCACGUUCGCGCUUAGGAUGCUUGGCAUAAUGGCUUUAAAAGACCCGUCUUG
RNAcentral lists this ribosomal RNA (293 nucleotides) under Phaeoclavulina campestris. RNAcentral's name for it is "partial 25S large subunit ribosomal RNA". It matches the Rfam family "Eukaryotic large subunit ribosomal RNA", at positions 374 to 656 of the family's 3401-position model. The record is from RNAcentral. Lineage: Eukaryota; Fungi; Basidiomycota; Agaricomycetes; Gomphales; Gomphaceae.